RNAcentral lists this ribosomal RNA (497 nucleotides) under uncultured bacterium. RNAcentral describes it as "partial 16S ribosomal RNA". It matches the Rfam family "Bacterial small subunit ribosomal RNA", at positions 28 to 507 of the family's 1533-position model. The record is from RNAcentral.
GAUGAACGCUGGCGGCGUGCCUAAUACAUGCAAGUCGAGCGAACAGAUGAGGAGCUUGCUCCUCUGACGUUAGCGGCGGACGGGUGAGUAACACGUGGAUAACCUACCUAUAAGACUGGGAUCACUUCGGGAAACCGGAGCUAAUACCGGAUAAUAUAUUGAACCGCAUGGUUCAAUAGUGAAAGACGGUUUUGCUGUCACUUAUAGAUGGAUACGCGCCGCAUUAGCUAGUUGGUACGGUAACGGCUUACCAAGGCGACGAUGCGUAGCCGACCUGAGAGGGUGAUCGGCCGCACGGGAACGGGGACGCGGUCCAGACUCCUACGAGAGGCAGCAGAAGGGAAUCUGCCGCAGUAGGGGGAAGCCUGACGGAGCAGCGCCGCGUGAGAGAUGAAGGUCUUCGGAUCGUAAAACUCUGUUAUGAGGGAAGAACAAAUGUGUAAGUAAAUAUGCACGGCUUGACGGUAACUAAUCAGAAAGCCACGGCUAACUACGUG